AGAUUGAACGCUGGCGGCAGGCCUAACACAUGCAAGUCGAGCGGCAGCACGGGUACUUGUACCUGGUGGCGAGCGGCGGACGGGUGAGUAAUGCCUAGGAAUCUGCCUGGUAGUGGGGGAUAACGCUCGGAAACGGACGCUAAUACCGCAUACGUCCUACGGGAGAAAGCAGGGGACCUUCGGGCCUUGCGCUAUCAGAUGAGCCUAGGUCGGAUUAGCUAGUUGGUGGGGUAAUGGCUCACCAAGGCGACGAUCCGUAACUGGUCUGAGAGGAUGAUCAGUCACACUGGAACUGAGACACGGUCCAGACUCCUACGGGAGGCAGCAGUGGGAAUAUUGGACAAUGGGCGAAAGCCUGAUCCAGCCAUCGACCGCGUAGGUGUGAAGAAGGUCUUACGGAUUGUAAAGCUACUUUAAGUUGGAGGUAAGGACAGUUACCUAAUACGUAUUCUAGUUUGACGUUACCGACAGAAUAAGCACCGUCUAACUCGU
Molecule: ribosomal RNA, 492 nt
Filed under: uncultured soil bacterium
Lineage: Bacteria
Description: bacterial SSU rRNA
Rfam family: Bacterial small subunit ribosomal RNA
Source: RNAcentral